This 321-nucleotide long non-coding RNA is filed under the name Homo sapiens (human). RNAcentral describes it as "non-protein coding lnc-MRTO4-1:2". The record is from RNAcentral. Lineage: Eukaryota; Metazoa; Chordata; Mammalia; Primates; Hominidae.
CCGGGGGCUUGCCACCGGCCCAGCGCCGCCUCCCAGGAGGGGGCGGAAGUGACGCAAUCUGUCGCGUCAGACUGCGCGCCGCCGUCAUGGGUCAAAAACGCGACGCGCGGAGCGGCCUUUGCUCUCACCGGGGUCGAGCCGCGGCGAGGGAACGGAUCGGAGACGCUGCGCCUGCUCAGAAGGUAGCGCAGCGGGGAAAGGCGGGAGAGCGUUAACUUCUGAGCCUGCGCGGUGGGAGUUGCUCAAGCAGGUGGUAGCGACUUGGCUUCCGGGCAGCGGGUAAAGGAGCGGAUAUAUAUUCCAGCAGCAUGAGUAUUUUAG